CCUACGGGUGGCUGCAGUGGGGAAUUUUGGACAAUGGGGGCAACCCUGAUCCAGCCAUGCCGCGUGAGUGAAGAAGGCCUUCGGGUUGUAAAGCUCUUUCGGCCGGGAAGAAAUCGCUCACGCUAAUACCUUGGGUGGAUGACGGUACCGGAAGAAGAAGCACCGGCUAACUACGUGCCAGCAGCCGCGGUAAUACGUAGGGUGCGAGCGUUGAUCGGAAUUACUGGGCGUAAAGCGUGAAGAGGCGGCGGAAAUCGCCGGGCUUAACCUGGGAACUGCGGUUGUGACGGUGGUGCUAGAGUGCGGCAGAGGGGGGUGGAAUGCCACGUGUAGCAGUGAAAUGCGUAGAGAUGUGGAGGAACACCGAUGGCGAAGGCAGCCCCCUGGGUCGACACUGACGCUCAGGCACGAAAGCGUGGGGAGCAAACAGGAUUAGAUACCCCGGUAGUC
This 450-nucleotide ribosomal RNA is filed under the name uncultured bacterium. Its description in RNAcentral is "partial 16S ribosomal RNA". It matches the Rfam family "Bacterial small subunit ribosomal RNA", at positions 338 to 795 of the family's 1533-position model. The record is from RNAcentral.